RNAcentral lists this ribosomal RNA (739 nucleotides) under Phocaeicola vulgatus. RNAcentral's name for it is "bacterial SSU rRNA". It matches the Rfam family "Bacterial small subunit ribosomal RNA", at positions 786 to 1533 of the family's 1533-position model. Lineage: Bacteria; Pseudomonadati; Bacteroidota; Bacteroidia; Bacteroidales; Bacteroidaceae. The record is from RNAcentral.
CCUGGUAGUCCACACGGUAAACGAUGAAUACUCGCUGUUUGCGAUAUACAGCAAGCGGCCAAGCGAAAGCGUUAAGUAUUCCACCUGGGGAGUACGCCGGCAACGGUGAAACUCAAAGGAAUUGACGGGGGCCCGCACAAGCGGAGGAACAUGUGGUUUAAUUCGAUGAUACGCGAGGAACCUUACCCGGGCUUAAAUUGCAGAUGAAUUACGGUGAAAGCCGUAAGCCGCAAGGCAUCUGUGAAGGUGCUGCAUGGUUGUCGUCAGCUCGUGCCGUGAGGUGUCGGCUUAAGUGCCAUAACGAGCGCAACCCUUGUUGUCAGUUACUAACAGGUUCCGCUGAGGACUCUGACAAGACUGCCAUCGUAAGAUGUGAGGAAGGUGGGGAUGACGUCAAAUCAGCACGGCCCUUACGUCCGGGGCUACACACGUGUUACAAUGGGGGGUACAGAGGGCCGCUACCACGCGAGUGGAUGCCAAUCCCAAAAACCUCUCUCAGUUCGGACUGGAGUCUGCAACCCGACUCCACGAAGCUGGAUUCGCUAGUAAUCGCGCAUCAGCCACGGCGCGGUGAAUACGUUCCCGGGCCUUGUACACACCGCCCGUCAAGCCAUGGGAGCCGGGGGUACCUGAAGUGCGUAACCGCGAGGAGCGCCCUAGGGUAAAACUGGUGACUGGGGCUAAGUCGUAACAAGGUAGCCGUACCGGAAGGUGCGGCUGGAACACCUCCUUUCUGGAG